Molecule: ribosomal RNA, 465 nt
Filed under: uncultured bacterium
Lineage: Bacteria
Description: partial 16S ribosomal RNA
Rfam family: Bacterial small subunit ribosomal RNA
Source: RNAcentral
GACGAACGCUGGCGGCGUGCUUAACACAUGCAAGUCGAACGGAAAGGCCCUGCUUGCAGGGUACUCGAGUGGCGAACGGGUGAGUAACACGUGGGUGAUCUGCCCUGCACUUCGGGAUAAGCCUGGGAAACUGGGUCUAAUACCGGAUAGGAGCCAUUUUUUGUGUGAUGGUUGGAAAGUUUUUUCGGUGUAGGAUGAGCUCGCGGCCUAUCAGCUUGUUGGUGGGGUAAUGGCCUACCAAGGCGGCGACGGGUAGCCGGCCUGAGAGGGUGGACGGCCACAGUGGGACUGAGAUACGGCCCAGACUCCUACGGGAGGCAGCAGUGGGGAAGAUUGCACAAUGGGCGCAAGCCUGAUGCAGCGACGCCGCGUGGGGGAUGACGGCCUUCGGGUUGUAAACUCCUUUCGCUAGGGACGAAGCUUUUUGUGACGGUACCUAGAUAAGAAGCACCGGCUAACUACGUG